RNAcentral lists this ribosomal RNA (473 nucleotides) under uncultured bacterium. RNAcentral describes it as "SSU rRNA". It matches the Rfam family "Bacterial small subunit ribosomal RNA", at positions 26 to 518 of the family's 1533-position model. The record is from RNAcentral.
AGAACGAACGCUGGCGGCAUGCCUAACACAUGCAAGUCGAACGCUCUUGGGGCUUCGGUCUCAGGGGAGUGGCGCACGGGUGAGUAGCGCGUGGGAACCUGCCCUGUUGUGGGGGAUAACCGAGGGAAACUUCGGCUAAUACCGCAUAAGCCGGUUGUCUUGAAGGAGAUGGCCGGGAAAGAUUUAUCGCGACAGGAGGGGCCCGCGUCGGAUUAGCUAGUUGGUGGGGUAACGGCCCACCAAGGCGGUGAUCCGUAGCUGGUCUGAGAGGAUGAUCAGCCACACUGGGACUGAGACACGGCCCAGACUCCUACGGGAGGCAGCAGUGGGGGAAUAUUGGACAAUGGGCGCAAGCCUGAUCCAGCAAUGCCGCGUGAGUGAUGAAGGCCUUAGGGUUGUAAAGCUCUUUCGCCCGCGACGAUGAUGACGGUAGCGGGAGAAGAAGCCCCGGCUAACUUCGUGCCAGCAGCCGC